GUGACACCUGCAGGUUAAACUAGUGAGCUGCAUUUAAUUUAAGUUACUGUGGUCAUGUGAUUAGCCUAACUAAUAGCAGUGCAAAAUGUGCAUGCAGUUUGUUGGUGCUAUGCUGUACACGGAGUUAGAUGCUAAAGAAGAGAAUAAUUAAACAGUAAAGCGUUACAGCAACUCCUAGAUUUCUGGUCGGAAGGCGCACACGGUCAGUCAUCCCCACAUGCGUGUUUAAACAAGAGCUCAAAACCAAAACCUCCACUGACGGACAAGGCAGGGAAGCAUCAUAAAACAAGCAACAAGCCUGCAAGUUCAUC
Ictalurus punctatus (channel catfish) is the source of this 311-nucleotide long non-coding RNA. The record is from Ensembl. Lineage: Eukaryota; Metazoa; Chordata; Actinopteri; Siluriformes; Ictaluridae.